Carassius auratus (goldfish) is the source of this 950-nucleotide long non-coding RNA. RefSeq lists it as uncharacterized. The record is from RefSeq and is a predicted model, not a curated record. NCBI's taxonomy places the organism in Eukaryota, Metazoa, Chordata, Actinopteri, Cypriniformes, Cyprinidae. The transcript is spliced from 4 exons.
GAAAGAUAAAGACAUAUUUCAGUCAAGAGUCAAGAGAACGAUUGUUGAUGAAGAGAAAAGAGCACAUUUGUGUGCAUUUGUGACCACAAACAUCACUACAGGAGAAGAAAUGAUGUUGGACUGCGGAGAUCCUGACUGCCCAUGGAGACAGGUAGCAGGAUGCUUGGUCCAUUACAUCCUGACGGAUGGACAACACCCUCAUCAGACAACUACACCCUCCACCCAGGAUCCACUUGGUCUGUCUCUACAUGUCAGAACGAGUAACUUCAGUCUUCAAUGGGAUGAAAGACAAAAAAUAUCUUAAGCAGAGUGAUGAGCAAAUCAGUGGAAGAGCAUCCUACUAUUGAGGAAUGCCUUCAGGAAGUCAAAACUAUGUGCAAAGACUUAUUGUAGAGUUUACAAUAAGCAUUCAAAUGAUUAGAUAUAAAUACUGGUGUGAAUUUGAUCACUGGUCUUAUCAAAUAUGAACCAAAAACAGCUACAGCAAUGUCCAUGUGGUUUCAGGAAAUAGUGACACAAAUGAUGAUCUUUCUGAAAUAAGGGCAGCCAGCUCAGAAAAGACUUCAGUCUUCAGUCUCGGAUACAUCAGUAAAUCACUAGUGCCAUUAAAUCAAAACGCAAGAGCCAGAAAGCCCUGGUCAGAAACAGAGAGGAAAGUCAUAGAACACUGUUUCAAGAUCUACUUUGAGGAAAUGAAGGCUCCUGGAAAAGUGGACUGUGAAAGAUGCAUAAAUGCAAACAGGAUUCUAAAGGGUAAUGGAAGAGACUGGAAAACAGUUAAAUACUUUGUGCUCAACAGAAUAAUUUCAGUUAAGAGAAGUUUGGGUCAACAGUACUGAGCCCAUAAACCCUGAGAGCUAUUUUUAGAGAGAUUAUGAGAAUAAAGUUUGACUUGAUUUCAUUCAAAAUGCUGUUUUGUUUUUUCACAAUAUCCUUUUCAGUGCAGGAAG